This 73-nucleotide transfer RNA is filed under the name Ruminococcus sp. AF14-10. RNAcentral describes it as "tRNA-Val". It matches the Rfam family "tRNA". From Rfam's summary of the family: Transfer RNA (tRNA) molecules are approximately 80 nucleotides in length. Their secondary structure includes four short double-helical elements and three loops (D, anti-codon, and T loops). Further hydrogen bonds mediate the characteristic L-shaped molecular structure. tRNAs have two regions of fundamental functional importance: the anti-codon, which is responsible for specific mRNA codon recognition, and the 3' end, to which the tRNAs corresponding amino acid is attached (by aminoacyl-tRNA synthetases). tRNAs cope with the degeneracy of the genetic code in two manners: having more than one tRNA (with a specific anti-codon) for a particular amino acid; and 'wobble' base-pairing, i.e. permitting non-standard base-pairing at the 3rd anti-codon position. The record is from RNAcentral. Lineage: Bacteria; Bacillati; Bacillota; Clostridia; Eubacteriales; Oscillospiraceae.
GGGAUCUUAGGUCAGCUGGGAGAGCAUCUGCCUUACAAGCAGAGGGUCACAGGUUCGAGCCCUGUAGGUCCCA